UUAAAGUUGUUGCGGUUAAAAGCUCGUAGUUGGAUUUCUGUUGAGGACGACCGGUCCGCACUAUGUGCGUGUAUCUGGUUCGGCCUUGGCAUCCUUCUGGGGAACGGUGCUGCGCUUGAUUGCGUGGUCCGGUAUUCAGAACUUUUACUUUGAGGAAAUUAGAGUGUUUACGGCAGGCAAUCGCCUUGAAUACAUUAGCAUGGAAUAAUACUAUAGGACCUUGGUUCUAUUUUGUUGGUUUCUAGAACUAAGGUAAUGAUUAAUAGGGACGAUUGGGGGCAUUCGUAUUAACACGUCAGAGGUGAAAUUCUUGUAUUGUGUUACGACGAACUACUGCGAAAGCAUUUGCCAAGGAUGUUUUCAUUGAUCAAGAACGAAAGUGCGGGGAUCGAAGACGAUUAGAUACCGUCGUAGUCUGCACCAUAAACUAUGCCAACUAGAGAUUGGUGGUCGUUCUUUUUAUGACUCCAUCAGCACCUUAUGAGAAAUCAAAGUCUUUGGGUUCCGGGGGGAGUAUGGUCGCAAGGCU
This 529-nucleotide ribosomal RNA is filed under the name uncultured Syndiniales. RNAcentral describes it as "SSU rRNA". It matches the Rfam family "Eukaryotic small subunit ribosomal RNA", at positions 604 to 1138 of the family's 1831-position model. The record is from RNAcentral. Lineage: Eukaryota; Dinophyceae; Syndiniales.